UCCUUUAGAUUUCUUAAGCUGAUUUAUUUUUUUCCCCUGAUAAAUCUCAGGCACUCCUGGAGCAUCAUCUGGAGCAACCCCUGAAGCUCAAGGUGAUAGCACACGUGGAGAGGCAGGGACUGCAACCACUGGUUCAGGUACCAUUGAACCAUCAGUUGACACAACAACCAGAGCCUCAAAGAAUGAAGCGACAUCACCUGAAGGGCAUUCAGCUUCUACUGGUACUUCAGUUUCCAUCACCUCCACAGCUAGAACUACAGGCACCACACCAGGACUGAGCUCCAGUUUCACCAGUCUUGGGGUCACAUCAGGUACUACUGGACCUUCAGUGGAUAAAACAACCAGAACCCCCAGCAGUGAAGUGACAUCACCUGAAGGGCACUCAGGCUCUACUGGAACUUCAGUUCCCAUCACCUCCACAGCUGGAAGUGCAGGAACCACAGCCCAAUCGAGCCCCAGCUUUACCAGUCCUGGGGACACAUCAGAGACAGCUGGAGUGUCACCAGGUGGGACUGCCACAACUAACAAUGGGAAUACAAGUGAGGCAGCCUUCCGAGAUGUUGGAACAGGAGGCCCUACUGCACCAACACCUAGCAAAGAGGAGGGCAGCACAUCCAGAGAACCCAGCACUGGAUCAACGAGCCCAGGAAGUUCAACAACGAGAGGAGGAACUGACACAGCCACCACUGUCUCUGCUGGUGAAAACACAUCUGGAAGGACAGUAACAACAGGAGGAAAAAAUAUAAUCUCCACUACUGCUGGUGACAACACUUCUGGAACAUCAGGUAGGCAAAAAGCAAUAUCAGCGUAAAUUCAGACAGAGGAAAUGUGGUUUC
This 836-nucleotide long non-coding RNA is filed under the name Ictidomys tridecemlineatus (thirteen-lined ground squirrel). RNAcentral's name for it is "lncRNA (ENSSTOG00000029636.1)". Lineage: Eukaryota; Metazoa; Chordata; Mammalia; Rodentia; Sciuridae. The record is from RNAcentral.